AAGGCCAAUGGCUUACACCCAUGACCCUAUGUAUCUCCCAUGGCUCUUUACCAUUUUUACACUUUAUAAGCCAUAUCGGCCUCCUCACUGUUUCAUUACUUUUAUUUUUUUUUUUAUCUUUUUGACCCACUUUAUUGAAGCAUACAUUACAUACCACAAAACCUGCCCAUUUUAAGAACUCAUUUUUACAAUUUUAAUAAAUUAAUAUAAUUGUGCAGCUAUAAAUUGAGCCUAGUCUUAGGACACAAUCUUCAUUCCAAAAAAGUUAUCUUGUGCCUAUUUGCAGAACACCUACUUCCCCUAUGGUUCCAAGAGACCACUGAUUUACUUUCUAUACCUAUAGUUUUCCCUUUCUGGUAAUUAAAUAUAAAUACAAGGUAUAAUAUAUUAUCUUCCACAUCAGGCUUCUUUCAUUUAGCCUAAUGUUUUUUAGGCCUACCUAUAUUGUAGCACAUAACUAUAGUUUGUUCGUUUUUAUUGCUGACUAGAAUCCACUUUAUAGCCAUAUUUUACCUUUUGUGUUUCUGUUGACCACUUUAUGGACAUUUGAAUUUUCUCGAAUUCUUGACUUUUACGAAUAAUGCUAAUAUGAUUAUUAAUGUCCAAGCCUUUUUGAACAUAGCUUUUCAUUAUUCUUUGGUAGAUAAAUAGGAAUGAAAUGACUGAGUUAUAUGAUUAGCAUAUGUUUAGCAUUCUAAGAAGCUGCCAAACUCUUUCCCAAAGCAAGCUGUACCAUUUUACAGUCCCAUCAGCAACAUUAUAAGGAUUUCAUUUCUCCACAGCCUAACAUUUGGUAUCAUCAUUUUUUUUUGCAUUCUAGUGUGCAUAUGAUCUCGUUAUAGUUUAAUUUGCAUUAAUCUAAUGGUUAACUAUAUUUAAAAUAUUUUUUGUGGUCAGUUAUCAUUCCUAUAUCUGCUUUGGUGAAUUGUCUCAAAAAUUUUGCCUAUAUUUUUUAAAUUGGGUGUUCUUCUUCUUAACUUAUAAGUGAUGUUUGUAUAUUCUAGAUGUAUGUCCUUUACCAGAUAUAUAAUGUGUGAUUAUUUUUCUCUCCCUAUGUAGCUUCUCUUUUCAUUUUCUUAUGUUUUAUUAAGUGUUUUUAGUUUUGAUGAAGUCCUAACUCCUCUUUUAGCUAUGAAUAUUCUGGCCCCAGCUCUCAUCCCCUCAUUUCCCUCAGGUCUCAAUUUGAGUGUCACCAUCUCAAAAAGUUCUUUAAUAUCUGCUCUUGAUGGUUAUUAGUGUUGUUUAAAACAUAUACUUAGGUCUGGCCACUUUCUAGCUAUCCUGUAACUGAGUGGGCUACAGGAUUAGCUCUGGGCAGUGAGUUGUAAGCAGGAAAGUGGUAAGUUGCACUUCCUUCUAGAUCAUGUCCCUCCAGGACCCUCUUUUCCCUUUAGCGCAAUGACCAACGACAGGCAAGAUGGGGUCUGAUUCUUUAGCCUAGGUCACUGAAUGAUUUCAAGAAGCAGAGUUUGGUGCCAACCCACAAUAUACAUACAGCAUGAGCAGGAAACCUAUGCUUUUAAAGCCACUAAGUUUUGAAGGUCUCUUUGUUACUUCAGCAUAUUCUGAUUGAUAUGCAUUCCCAAAGAAAUUUCUCAUGGAAAUUGUCUAUUCACUUACCCAGUUUUUUCUUUAUAGAAUUUAGUACCUGAUGUGCGUCUGCCUUGCCCACUAACACAUAUGGUGGGGGUGUAGUUUGGUUGACUGCUAAAUCCCUAGCACCUAUAACAGAGCCUUGCACAUAAUACCUAUGCAAUAUAUGUUAAAUAAGUAAAUAUGACUUCACCUUAAGAGAGGCAUGUUAAAUUUGGCACAUCAAAAUACAACACAUUGUUUAAAACUGCACCUGAAAAUGUUGCUAGUUUUAUUGUGCUAUUAUUUACGAAAAGCAGCAAAAUUUGAAUGCACUUACAAUUGCUGAAAGUUCCUAGGGGUCUUUGAUAAAACUUAUAAAUAAAACACUAAAUCAACUGAGAAUUAUUAAAUUCCUCAAAGACUGCUACUCUAUGCACUGUACACACUGCUUAUUAAGCAGAGCCAAUGCUUUCAAAUGUAAAUACAUGUUAGUCCUGCAUUAUCUUUUAAUCAGUCCUAAGGAAUAAUAUCCUUAGCAAGAUAUGGUUAGAUACCUGAUUUUACCUUGCUGUCUCAGCAUCUUUUCUUUAUUUUAGUUCUUCAUGGUUUGCUGAUUCCCAUCUACGUCCUAUGUUAAUUUGCAGUAGAUUGAUCAUGCCAGGUAUUCUUUUUCAUUAUAAAUGGGUGUCAUGACUGGACUGGUGAAGGAACAUAAAAGUUGUACCUCUAUAGAGUUCAGACCCCAGUCUCAUGUCUAUUCCUUCCCUAGUCACCCAGAGACUAUAAUGUUUUGCACACUCUGCCUGGGAUGGUCUUCUUCCAGAUAUCUUGACUCAAAUGUGCUCUUCAUAUGCAGGCAAUCCUGAUCACUCUAAAUAAAAUUAAAAAUUAUCUUUACUCCCAGGAUGCCUACAGUCCUAUUUCUUUGUUUUAUCUCAUUCAUACUUAGAGCCAUCUGACAUGUUAUUCUCACCUUGUUCAUUCCAUCAUUACUGUAGAGAGAAGGCUAUAUGAAUUCACAAAUGUCUCUUUCUAAAAACUUCUUGUAUUCUCUAUGCCCACAUCAUUGCCAGACACACAGUGAACAAUGAAUAAACAUGCUGAGUGGAGGAACUGACUUAAACCAAAUCAAAGCCAAUAUGAUUUCUGAAGGGGUAGGCAGAGAUACUGGGCCCUAAGACUUUCCACAAUGAUGCCCAGACAUAUACUCAUAUGUUUGCUAGACUGGGAUACCCUGACAGAAGACAAAUUGCAGAAUAGUGCUAAGACAAAACUCAUUAUAAGAAGGGAUACAGUGACAGAGCCUGAGAACAAAGUCAAAGACGAGAUUAACCAUAUUCUGCUCUAGCAUAAAAUCCACCUAUCCUUGGGCAAAGUGGUAGCACUACUUUGUUUUAAGAGACGUUGAAAGGAGUUGUUAAAAGAGUUUCAUCAUGCUUAUACUAAUACCUGGAGCACUUAUAAAACUUUGCUUUGAGAGUUGAAGCGUUCCUCUCACUUUGUUAGAGUGAUUAUGAGCAAGUCAGGCCUUCAUAUCCACAGGUGGCAUCUAGUGACAAUGAUAGGUAGUUGGAUUUAAGCUCUUAUCAGCACCAGCUCUCAAAGAGUGAAGCAGAUUUAUCCUCCACUAUGGCAUAGGUUUGGGCUCAUUAAAGACAACAAAAUUACGGUUGGGAGCUUCACUCCUAACCUGACUCACCAUGAAAGAGCCUGAAAAGAAAUCCAUCACUUCACCAUUGGCCACACUGAGCCUCCAGGAGGGCUCUGUGCAAGCUCUCUAGGAAUAGUAACAAAGAAGGCAAGUUUUCCUUUGCACAGCUCAGCAAAGUCAUUCACAAAUACUUGCCAUUGAAGUACAAGAAUCUGCUUCUUGUUCCACUAGCUCUGGAAACCAAGUUAUACCCAGAUGUACAAGGCGAGGAUGUAUUUGGCAAUACUGGCAAUGUCAAUGACACCAAUGCUCUAGCUGAGUGAGUGAUGCUGUGGAAAUGUUAGGAACUUCUGGCAUAACUAUCUACGUGCAAGAGCAAUGAGGAACAAUGAGAAUUCUGAGCAUCUGGGGUUCUUGAAAUUACUUGAGGUGGGGGAAGAAACUCUAUUUUUGAAAGUCAAUAUUCCUUCAACUAUGAAGAAAGUGAUAAAGAACUUUUUAUAUUUGGGGACCAAAAAUUCAACCAACAGGUGAAUACAGACACUUGAAGCACAAUAAACGUCACAGUAAAUGCUCAGGAAUCUAUUCUUCAUAUGCUUAUAAUUUACAUAUUAAACUUACAGUUUUAUAUUUACUGAAUUCUUAUAAAGUUUCUGCUUCCAAGGCUAAAUUUCUAUCACACACAUACAGGCAAUGUCAUAAAUUUGAUCUUAGGGAAUUAUCCUCUUCAAUUUAAUACUGAAAAAUAUUUGUUCUACCUGUCUAUUGUCUUAAGAGUGGCUGCAAAACGUUGCCUUCUUUGGCAUAAGGACUGAUGGUAAGGGACUUUAAAGUACUUUGGAGUUUUGCAUUGGAAAAUGAAAGCUUUUAGGUAAGUAACAUUCCUAAGUCUUCGUUACUGAUCAGAAAUUAUUAUUGUUAGCUUCUGUGAUGCACACUGUUAAACAAUCCCACUACAUGUAACGGUCCUCAAUUUGUUUUCUGGAAAAUCAUUUAAUCUUAUGUUUGUUAUGCUGGCAUGAAAGAAUGGGAAGUAAUACUGACUACCUCUUUCCUCAAUAUAGAUUUAUCUCUUUGCUGAAAAUUACAUCACUAUUAUUAGCAAUUUUGCAAAAAAUAAGCUAAGUAUACUCAACUCAUAUUUGCCCUUAUAUGAGUGCUCCACCUUGAACAUAAUCUGGAGUGAAUUUUAGCCAUUUUACCAACCUCUAUCAUUUAUAGGGAUACAGAGUUUAUUUACUUAUUUCUCCCUACUCUAUUCCUAUCUGCAUAAACUCAGUCUCUGGAAAAUUAAGUCAGGAAGUAACCUGAACUUAUUUGACAUUGAACUGGAACUCAGGUGUAGACAACAGAAGAUUUCAAGUUCAAAUGAUUUUGAAAAUCCAAAAGUUACCCCCCAAAAUCUAGAGUCUAAAAUGCCAGAAGGAAAUUCAUGUAAUCACCAAAUCUAAGAAAAGAGUAUCUAGUAUUUACAUUCAAGAUGGAAACUUUAUAAUCAGUGAAAUAUUUAAAGAGGUUGGAAGAAAAUGCUGAAGACUAGAUGUCAUUAAACAAAAAAGCUAGGACCUUAUCUAGCCUGAAGCUUUUACUUAAAGGCAAACUUAGGCAUGGUGCAUAAGUGGAUUGAUCUGACUUAAAAGGCCAGAUGCAAAGUUAAUACUGAUACUUAUAAAGUUAGACACUUUUGUAUAGCUAUUUGAUGCAGUAGCAUCAAAAUGUGAACAUACUUGUUUUAAUCAUUGAAAAUGUAUGCAAAGAAUCAUCUUGAUCACUCUGGUCUCAUCUCUGAAAGUAAAAAGAAUAAUAGGCCAGGUAUGGGAAGAAUUAGGAAAUAGGUUGAAAAUUGGAGUUAAUCUCAAAAAUGGAGAGGGAAUGUCUGUUUAUUCAUUUUUACAUUUAUUCAACAAAUAUUUUUGAAUGUCUGUCAUUAUCAAACAGAGGCAUCUGUUAUAUAGCUUUUUUGGUAUUACAUUUUAUUAAACCUGAAGUUUAUAAUUUGAUUCUAAACCCAACCUAAAGAAGCCAUAUUUUUUUUGGGGGGGGGGGGAACAGCUAAGGCAUAUGAUAGUUCCCAGGCAUAGGUAGCUUCAGGCCUAUGCCACAGCCAUGGCAUUGCCAGAUCUGAGUCACAUUUGGGACCUACA
This 5370-nucleotide long non-coding RNA is filed under the name Sus scrofa (pig). RNAcentral's name for it is "lncRNA (ENSSSCG00000053186.1)". Lineage: Eukaryota; Metazoa; Chordata; Mammalia; Artiodactyla; Suidae. The record is from RNAcentral.